This 1234-nucleotide long non-coding RNA is filed under the name Ananas comosus (pineapple). RNAcentral's name for it is "long non-coding RNA (ACOM_LNC006503)". The record is from RNAcentral. Lineage: Eukaryota; Viridiplantae; Streptophyta; Magnoliopsida; Poales; Bromeliaceae.
UCUUAAAAUAUUCCAUUCUAGUCCUUUUCAAUAUUUUUUAGACUUAAUUACAAAAGUCCUUUUUGUACCUUAUAUGUUUGUUUCAACAAAAUUGAACUUUUGGUUGAAGUGAACUUUUGGUUGAAGCAGAGUUCAGUAAAAAUUAUUUUUCUCUGCUGUUUAUUCUGUAAUUAUGAAAAUAAAGUUUUAUUAGUUUUGCUAUUUGUUUAGUUAAAAAUAUGAGAUAUAAAAUUAUAAUUUUUAUAUAAAUAAUAAAUAAUGUAACAAAUAAAAUAGUAUAAUUAUAUUUUUAUAUAAUUAAAAUUUAAUUUAAAACAAUUAAAUCAAUUUUUUAUAUAUAAAUUAUAGUAAUAUAAUAAUAAAAUUAUAAAGUAAAAAAUUAUUAAUACUUAAUUAAUCAAAUUUUACCAUAUUUUAAUUAUACAAACUAAAUAAAAAAUAUUAAAACUUAACUAAUCAAUUUUUAUUAUAUUUUAAAUAUGCUAAAAAAAUAAAAGAGUAAUUAAGUAUUAAUAAUUUUUUACUUUAUAAUUUUAUUAUUAUAUUACUAUAAUUUAUGUAUAAAAAAAAUACCUAUAUUAUUUUUAUUUAUUAAAUUAUUUAUUAUCAUACACUUCCUAUCAAACAAACAGCAGAACUAAUGAAACUUCACCUCCACAACUACGAAACAAACAACAGGGAAAAAAUAAUUAAUACUNCCAUAUUUUAAUUAUACAAACUAAAUAAAAAAUAUUAAAACUUAACUAAUCAAUUUUUAUUAUAUUUUAAAUAUGCUAAAAAAAUAAAAGAGUAAUUAGUAUCAUAAUUAAAUAUAUUUAAAUAUAACUAUCUUUACCUAGUAUAUUAUUUUAUUAUUUUUUUCACAUUUUUUCAGCAUAAUUGAUUUCGGUCCAUGAUGAAGUCAAUUACAUCAUUUCAAAUUAAGUCGAGUUUUAACCGUAAUUCUUUUACGACGAACUAAACAACGAAAAUGAUCGUUUAUAGCGAAAACGACUUCCCUCCUUUUCAUUUCACCUCAUUUUCAUCCAAACAAAUAUACCCUUAUACUAUCUAUCAUUAAUCCAUCCAUUAAAAAUGACAUUAAUUAUCCUCUCAUAUUUUACCAUUAUUCUAAAUUUAUCAAAAAAAAAGGUAAAAAUAUUGUUGAAAGUUUGAAAAUUAAAUUAAAUUAAAUUUUUAUUAAAAAAUUAGGAUCUUAAAUAUUGAAAUUAAAUAUUUGAGGACGAAAAUAAAA